This 253-nucleotide ribosomal RNA is filed under the name uncultured bacterium. Its description in RNAcentral is "partial 16S ribosomal RNA". It matches the Rfam family "Bacterial small subunit ribosomal RNA", at positions 524 to 776 of the family's 1533-position model. The record is from RNAcentral.
UACGUAGGCAGCAAGCGUUGUUCGGAAUUACUGGGCGUAAAGAGUGUGUAGGCGGUGCUCCAAGUCUGGUGUGAAAUCUCCCGGCUUAACUGGGAGGGUGCAUUAGAAACUGGAAUGCUAGAGGAUGGGAGAGGUAAGCGGAAUUCCUGGUGUAGCGGUGAAAUGCGUAGAGAUCGGGAGGAACACCAGUGGCGAAGGCGGCCCUCUGGACCAAUACUGACGCUCAUGCACGAAAGCGUGGGGAGCAAACAGG